This 397-nucleotide long non-coding RNA is filed under the name Medicago truncatula (barrel medic). RNAcentral describes it as "long non-coding RNA (MTRU_LNC000407)". Lineage: Eukaryota; Viridiplantae; Streptophyta; Magnoliopsida; Fabales; Fabaceae. The record is from RNAcentral.
UUUCAAAAACAGCUUAUUCAAAACAACUUAUUUAUACAAAACAGCUUAUUACGACCUCAUUUACAAAAACAGCUUAUUCAAAACAACUUAUUUAUGCAAAACACCUUAAUAGACCUCAUUUUCAAAUACAGCUUAUUCAAAACAGCUUAUUUAUGCAAAACAGCUUAAUACGAUCUCUUUUUCAAAAACAGCUUAUUUAUACAAAACAGCUUAUUACGACCUCAUUUACAAAAACAGCUUAUUCAAAACAGCUUAUUUAUGCAAAACAGCUUAUUACAACCUCAUUUUCAAAAAUCGCUUACUCAAAACAACUUAUUUAUACAAAACAGCUUAUUACGACCUCUUUUUCAAAAACAGCUUAUUCAAAACAACUUAUUUAUGCAAAACAGCUUAAUAC